Non-coding RNA from Xylaria nigripes, 85 nucleotides. Lineage: Eukaryota; Fungi; Ascomycota; Sordariomycetes; Xylariales; Xylariaceae. The record is from the annotation of a GenBank genome assembly.
GGCUUCGUGGCCCAAUGGCAAGGCGUCUGACUACGACGAGUUCUGAGUAAUCAGGAGAUUCUGGGUUCGACCCCCAGCGAGGUCA